GAGCAACAGUGGUUCAUAAUUUUACAGUUUUCUGGGCUCAGGUUCAAAGCCAAAUUCUUGUAUCUUCAAGUCCACCAGUUUCAGAUUUACCCAGUUUCCCACAGAGUUCUAGACCUUCUUUAACAAUGUCCUCAACAGAAGUGUGUGGUGCACUGAAGUUCUGUUUCAGCAGCCUUGCAGGAUGCGAUCCACAUGACCCGAGCUGUUACUUUAUGUCAUCAGAGGCAUUGGAGAGUGGUGGUUUCAAAUUUGAAAUGAGUGGACUUUCAGAUGGAUAUGUAGCUAUUGGCUUUUCUGAUGACACUACUAUGGGGAAUGACGAC
Gekko japonicus is the source of this 323-nucleotide long non-coding RNA. RefSeq lists it as uncharacterized. The record is from RefSeq and is a predicted model, not a curated record. Lineage: Eukaryota; Metazoa; Chordata; Lepidosauria; Squamata; Gekkonidae. The transcript has 4 exons.